Molecule: long non-coding RNA, 5205 nt
Organism: Gasterosteus aculeatus aculeatus (three-spined stickleback)
Lineage: Eukaryota; Metazoa; Chordata; Actinopteri; Perciformes; Gasterosteidae
Source: Ensembl
CUACAGGGCCACUAUCGGGUUGGAGUUUGUAUUUGAAACCUGCAACUCAACAUUUUGUGUUAGCUUUAGCUGUGAUUUUGCUAAUUAGAUAAUAUUAGCAUGCUAACAUGCUAAACCGUGUGGUUAUACCAACAAUGGUUGGUUCUGGACUCGUAGGAUAUUUAACAGAGAUAUUAGCUUUUACUGUAAUUCCUUUUAUCAGUGAGUCCAAUAUUCAGAAUAUUUCAUAAAGAAGUUAACCCACUAAAAUGGCCAUUUCUGCCAUUUUCUUUCUUAUUCAUUCUACUCAUCCCUCUUGCCCCCAGUCAUGUCAGUCAACUCCUCUUCCUCGUUUCCUCCUUCCAACUCUUCCUCCAUCAAUGUCUUUGAAUUCCUGCAGAACUGCUACAGAAGUCCAGCCGGCGCCUCCAGCAUCACCACUUUCACCGUCUGCAGCCUCCUGCUGGUCCUCCCUCCCUGCGUCUACGUCGUCUACCUGGGACUCAAACAACGGCGCUCCGGCACGGCGGCGAGCCACUCCGACGUCUUCACCUUCCACAUGGUCGCCAUCGAGCUGAUGAAUAUCGUAGGGUACCUUUUAUGCUGUUGUGGCGUCCUCGCUGGUCUCCCAGAAAUGCUGGUGGGUAUUGUCUUUUGCGCCGUCCACUGGUGUGGCCAGCAGCUGUUUCACUCUCUGACCUGUGUGGAGCGCUACCUGGCCGUCGUUCACCCCGUCACCUACCUGGGCCUGAAGAACCAGAAGUGGAUCAGAGUCAGAGACGUCUCCAUCGGAUAUGUUUGGCUGCUGUGCUUUGCAAACACAGGAAGCCUGUACGUUGGUGAAAACAAUUCAAUGUACAAUUUAAUCAACAUCUUCGCUCUAAGCUUCAUAGCCUUCAUGUUCAUCGUCGUCUCCUUCUGCAGCCUCGCUGUUCUCCGCGUUCUGAUUGGUCCGGGGCCGGGGGCCGGGGGGGAGGGAAGGCGGCGGGUCGACCGAGCAAAGAUGAGAGCGUUCUACACCAUCAUGGUCAUACUGGGGGUGCUGCUGGUGAGGGUUGUGGGGACUGCAGUUUACUGCGCAUUGUACCCCUUGCCAGAUGCCGAGGAACAUGAAAUAUGUAUUCUGUGGUUGGCCUCUACGUGGUUAACGUUGCCCAGCAGUCUGGUGUUGCCUCUUCUCUUUCUCCACAGAGCAGGAAAACUACUGUUUUGUCAGAACGUCCGCAGAUCUGUAAAAGGACCAGAUUAGAUUCAAUCAGUAUCUCUGGAUCUAAAUCUCUAUGUAGUUAUUUUGUAUUCCUCCAAUUGUUUUGAUCUUGUUGGAGCUUUUGUCUUCAUGUGGUGGAUUUUGUGUAUUUGUCAUCAAGUUGUGUCUCUAUGGUAAAUUUCACCUUUUUGUACUCUUUUUGCUUUUUAAUAGAAGCUGCUUCAUUUUUUUUAAAUCUAGUGUAUCAGUAGUGCCGAGAUCAAAAAUUGGCUGGUGGUAUCAACUAAUGUCAGAAGGCAGUCAUCCCUCUAUGUCGCUUUUUUUUAAUAUCAACACACAUAAAAAAAAUUUUUUUCCAUAUCCAUUUCUCAUUCACCAAUAUGCACAACUGAUAUGCUUGGCAUGGCGUGAACGGCUGAUUUGAAUAGAAACACAAAUUAGUACGCAUUUGACUGUCAGGUACAAUGAUGAGGUGUGCAAAUGUUUUGCUAAGCGUAUAAUCCUUGUGUUCAGGGCCGUGAAGAAGUAUUUUGGUGGUACUGAUUUUGUCCGCAAAUUAUAUACAUUUGAAUUUUGUCAAAUUGAUGAAUACGAAAUACGAAACGUUACGACAUUGUGGAAGGAAACCAUUCGUUUUUCGCAUGAAACAAACACAACCUUUACAUCAGUGUAAUACGUAAUAAAAUAUUCCACUUUGCCUUUGCUGAACAUGUUCAGCUCCCUGGCACCCAUUAAAACGAACAACAAAAAACUUGUUUCUUCCUUGUUUGAAUAUAUUUUAUUAGAACAUCGUAAUUGCUUGAACAGUUGAUUCCUAAAUAACAUGAACUCUGCUUAUAUUUAAAUCAAACAUUCCUUCAUGCUCAACUACUUAAUAGCACAACACAUCAAGCCCACUGCAGAUACCUUCUGCCCCAUUAGAAGUUGACAGAAGUCAAAUGAUGGGAAGACGAAGCCUGCUGAGUAUUCAAAUAAAAUAUCAUUGACUGAUUUGCAUGGUUGUGUUAUGUUAAUCACGCCUCUUGCAAACUCCUCUUUUAGCUCAACAUUUUUUCUUAAAUUAAUUGAAGUAAAAAACACUUAUACAUCAAACGAAAAUCUACAAAAAUACAUCAGAUGUUUUUUAACGGAGGGUGUUUACAUUUUUUUUUUUAAUCUCUAAUUAUAACAGAUGUUUAUCCUCCAUCAGCCGAUCUGUCUCCCAACUUUGUUUGUAGGGAAACAAUGAAUGCAAUAUCAAUGCAAUGUCAAUGUAUGUAUCUUUUCAAGGUGACUUUCAAUGCUUCAGAGCUGGGUUGCUAGAAAGCCAAGUUGAAUUUAAAAUUCGACUUUAUACGUAAUUGUUUCACUUUGGAAGUCAAUUCUGCAAAUUCCAUACCGCAUUAAUUGGUGUUCUUACAACCCGGUAAUCUUCCCGCUCGGUGUAGAUACAAAAGAGGUAAAACCAGACUAGUCAGGACAUUCGUCCAAGUUUCUGCUGGUAUAAACUCACACGGAUCCUCUUUCCCCAACUUAUAGAGAAUAACCCAAGCAAGCCCGGUCGCACACCUCAACAGCAGCACUCCCAGGAUGGCCACGAUGGUGCAGACGGCCCUCCGCUUGGAUUGGUCCACCCUGUCCCCACCCUGUUCCCCCGGCCGUGGACGAAUCAGAACGCAGAGAACAGACAGGCUGCAGAAAGACACUACGGCCAUGGCGAAGAUCAGAAUGCAAAAAUUAAAAUUUAAAGAUAAAUAUCCCAAAACGUCCAUAGUCGCCUCACCGAAACAGACCAGCCAAACCCCUCCGAUGGAGAUGUUUCUGAUUCUGAUGCCCCGCUCUCUCCUCAGGCUCAGGUAGGUGACGGGAUGGACCACGGCCAGGUAGCGCUCCACGCAGGUCAGGAUGUGAAAGGACGUUUGUCCGAACCAGGUCACCGACAGAAGAAACAGCCCCACAGAAUAUGUAGGGACGUGGAUACUAGAGUUGCUGAGGAUGAACCCCAGAACCCCAAGCAGCUCGAUGGAGACCAUGUGGUAGGCGAAGCUGUCCGAGUGACUCGUCGCCGCUGAUGAGCAGGCGGAGCGCUGCCGCCGCCAUCGUUGGAAACCCAGGUAGAGCACCAGGACGAAGAGGGGCACCAAGAGGAGGAGGACGGUGGUGCUGGAUGCAAUGAAGAUUAAGGAGCUUGGUUGUGUGAAGAGGCAAGGGAGGUUGGAAGGAUGAAGGGAGUCGUUGGAGGAAGAGUUCGCUGCCAUAUCUCAAAGAGAAGACAAUCAGAUGGAGGGAAUGUGUAAUCGAUUGAUAUAAACAUGGUCCAUACAUCUUCUCUUUAAACAAUUACUUUAGAAAAGCACCUUGUAGUUUAAAAGAAGGAAACAAGUGGUUGUGAUCCUUACCUUAUCAGUCCUAGUUUGUGGUGCUCCUCUGUGGACUCCUGGAAAUCUGCUCCUGAUGUAGUGGAUGCAGAACCUCCUCUUUAACCCCCCUCCCACUAGCUCUCCUCAACUGUUGCAUUAAUGAGCACACACCGCAGCGUACCAUUUGUGUCCACGUCCAAAACCUUUACUUGUGGACGUAGAUAGUGAACUUCUGUUUUUAGAGAAGAUCCGCGACGCGUCAAACCAUGAAGGAUUCUGCAGAAGACCGAGGACGGACCCCUUGGUCCUCCCAGCACAUCGGAAAGGAGCGUCGGCGUGAAGACAAAGCCUGUGCAUUCAAAUCCAAUGGACGUGUUUUGCAUGCUCGUGUUGUUCAGCCCACAAUCAUCGCAGAGACAAACGAUGUCCUUAACAUACACAAGGUGAUCAUCCACAUGCAUGUACAGCUUUUGAAUAAUCUCAUAUUCCAGAACAAAGUAAGUCGAUGCUGUAUAUACUUUGCAUACACGCGAGAUACCAGGUACACAGUUGUAAAUUAUCCUAUAACGUGAAACACACAGAAUAUGUUUGAAGGUUUGAGGUAAGAACCUCCACUUUAAACAUAUCAUACGUUAUGCACUGGGAGGACAGAGGAGGAGGAGGAGGAGGAGGAGAGAUCCACAACAUCAGCAGGAGAAGUUAAGAGUGAGUAGAGGAUGCUUCUGUGGUGCAGUACACCAAUGAGACCAGCAGGGGGAGACAGGCUCAUUUCAUCGUUCAUAGACGCAGCGAUGGGUCCUUAACUUUCAACAUCAGUUUAACGCCUUGAAUCAUGUUGCAUCUUCCACGACGUCGCGUCAUCACAGCCAGCCAAUCAGCAGCCAGGAAGCGACUCGCACACUGAUAUUGGUGUUAUUUCAAGACCUUUUAAAAUCACAGUUUAUUCGAGUGUGGAGAUCAACUAAAGGUCAAACACACACACACACACACACACACACACACACACACACACACACACACACAUCCCUCUUAGUGAACACUCAUUCAUAAUGAUAAAACACAGGUUGUCUUGUUGGCCGAGCGUAGCACAGAGGUUCUGUGUGUGUGUGUGUGUGUGUGUGUGCGCGCAUGUGCUUGUGUUUAAGUUCAACCAGUGUUUACAUGCCAGUUGGAACACACACACACACACACACACACACACGAACAAACACUCGCUUCUAUUUCAACAAGCGUCUGUUCUGGAGAAUGUCCCCCUCCUCACCCCCCUCAACCCCUUCAGCCCCCUCUGUCUUUUUAACUUGAGUCUCCUUCGCCUCCCCCCAUGUCUCUCCAUUCAUCUCUUAAUGAUGAUACAGUAAUUGAAUCAGUAUGUCCCAUGGAUACCGACUCACACACACACACACACACACACACACACACACACAUCUAUCUACACACUUUCCAGACCCCGGCAGGAGUAAUGGAGGCGGCACGGGGUGAUGGAUUGUAUGUGUACACACACAUAGACACGCACACACACACAGGGACACACAUUCCUAUUGAGCAUCUGAUCUGUGCUCAGUGCGGUUUUUAAGGCAAAGCCUCCGCUUCCAGACGUCUAUGGGAGCAGAGGAGUCGCCCCCUGCUGGUCACUACAGAGAAGUAGAGUCAUUUCCUCAUAGACGUCUAUGGGAGCAGAGG